AGCGAACGCUGGCGGCGUGCCUAACACAUGCAAGUCGAACGUGAAAAGGGAAACCUGAGUAAAGUGGCGUACGGGUGAGUAACGCGUAGGUAAUCUACCCCAGAAUCUGGAAUAACCUGCCGAAAGGCGGGCUAAUACUGGAUAGAGCGAGGGAACUCGUAAGAGAGUUUUUCGGGAAAGGGAGCCCGCAAGGGCCUUCGUUCUGGGAUGAGCCUGCGUCUCAUUAGCUAGUUGGUAAGGUAACGGCUUACCAAGGCGAUGAUGAGUAGCUGGUCUGAGGGGAUGAUCAGCCAAACUGGGACUGAAACACGGUCCAGACUCCUACGGGAGGCAGCAGUGGGGAAUCUUGCGCAAUGGACGAAAGUCUGACGCAGCCACGCCGCGUGAGUGAAGAAGGCCUUCGGGUUGUAAAGCUCUGUCGGAUGGGACGAACAUCUUCAUAGUGAAUAGCUAUGAGGACUGACGGUACCAUCAAAGGAAGCACCGGCUAACUCCGUG
RNAcentral lists this ribosomal RNA (498 nucleotides) under uncultured bacterium. RNAcentral's name for it is "partial 16S ribosomal RNA". It matches the Rfam family "Bacterial small subunit ribosomal RNA", at positions 29 to 507 of the family's 1533-position model. The record is from RNAcentral.